UUAGACUUCUCCUCACACCUCACAUCUCUCAUAGACAUCUUCUCUCUUUUUCUCUCUAAUUUUGAUUUCAAAAUUUGAAACUCCAUUCUCUCUCACACCUCUUCCUCUUCUUAUAACACAUCUUCUUUCCACCGAACUUUCUCUCUCUAAGUGAUCUCCGGUGGUGAUUUCUACCAUUUUGCUCCAACGGAAUAUAGUCCUGUUGAGAGGGGGUGAUUUUUACCAUCUGCAUCAAUGUUUGCCUCCUCUCUCUCUACACAGCUCCAAGGAAAUAAUUGAAGUAAUUCUGAUUAUGCUUUUAUGAGAUCAUCCAACUAAUUGAAGCACCAUUAUGUUUUCUGCUUCAUAUGAUGGAGCGACUUCGACGGCGACAAUCGAGCAGACUAAGGUUGUGGGUAUUUGUCUUGGUCUUGCUGGCCCUGUUUCAAUGUCUUGGUCCUGCUGGCUCUGUUCAAGGAUAUCCCAAACAGGUGAAGGGAAAGAUACUAUCAGAUUGGAUAAAGGGGGAACACUAGGAAAAUUGGAAGCUUACUAUGGGAUGUUAUCUUCAAUGGAUGUAAGAAAAUUGUUAAAGUAGAAGAGCUUAUUGUUUGUUUUCUCACAUGACAAUGGACAUAGCUAAGCUGCAGGAUGUGUCAAGUCCAUGGAGGGAGCAUUGGUGAACAUAGUUUUAAAGCAAGACAACUUUAUACGACAAUGUCAUUUAAGCUAAAACGUCUGUUGGUCACAUAUAGAAGAUGGUUUUUAAUUGGUUGUCUCUUUUCAAUGUUAAUUAACUCUCAAUUACAUCAAUCUAA
Camellia sinensis is the source of this 797-nucleotide non-coding RNA. Lineage: Eukaryota; Viridiplantae; Streptophyta; Magnoliopsida; Ericales; Theaceae. The record is from RefSeq and is a predicted model, not a curated record.